Molecule: ribosomal RNA, 496 nt
Filed under: uncultured bacterium
Lineage: Bacteria
Description: partial 16S ribosomal RNA
Rfam family: Bacterial small subunit ribosomal RNA
Source: RNAcentral
GAUGAACGCUGGCGGCGUGCCUAAUACAUGCCAGUCGAGCGAACGGACGAGAAGCUUGCUUCUCUGAUGUUAGCGGCGGACGGGUGAGUAACACGUGGAUAACCUACCUAUAAGACUGGGAUAACUUCGGGAAACCGGAGCUAAUACCGGAUAAUAUUUUGAACCGCAUGGUUCAAAAGUGAAAGACGGUCUUGCUGUCACUUAUAGAUGGAUCCGCGCUGCAUUAGCUAGUUGGUAAGGUAACGGCUUACCAAGGCAACGAUGCAUAGCCGACCUGAGAGGUGGAUCGGCCACACGGGAACUGGGACAGGGUCCAAACCCCGAGGGGAGGCAGCGGAGGGGAAUCUUCGGCAUGGGGCGAAAGCCUGACGGAGAAACGCCGCGGAAGUGAGAAGGGUCUUCGGAUCGUAAAACUCUGUUAUUGGGGAAGACCAAAGGUGUAGUAACUGUGCACAUCUUGACGGUACCUAAUCAGAAAGCCACGGCUAACUACGUG